UUGGUCUCAGACUAGGCAUGCACGUCUAAGUACAAACUAAUGAUGGUGAACUGCAAAUGGCUCAUUACAACGGUUAUGAUGUACCCGGGAGUUCCGAUGGAUAUUUCCAGUAACACUAGAACUAAUACAUGUCCCUGCGUUUAUUAGUUUCGCACAGUCCGUCGCUGAGUCAUGGUAAACAGUUGAUCGACUCGACGUCCCGGAACAGUUUCCGCCCCAUCAGCUUCGAUGGUUGGGUAUUGGCCUACCAUUGCAACAACGGGUAACGAGGAAUUAGGGUUUGAUUUCGGAGAGGGAGCCUGAGAAACGGCUACCACAUCUACGGAUGGCAGCAGGCGCGCAAAUUACCCAAUGCAGACACUGUGAGGUAGUGACGAGAAAUAAUAAAGCGGGACUUCUGUUUCGCUAUUAUAAUGAGGAAUAACCAAAGGUCAUUCCGAUUAGCAACUGAUGGGAAAGUCUGGUGCCAGCAGCCGCGGUAAUACCAGCGUCAGUAGCAU
RNAcentral lists this ribosomal RNA (500 nucleotides) under uncultured Myrionecta. RNAcentral's name for it is "SSU rRNA". It matches the Rfam family "Eukaryotic small subunit ribosomal RNA", at positions 33 to 600 of the family's 1831-position model. The record is from RNAcentral. Lineage: Eukaryota; Ciliophora; Litostomatea; Cyclotrichida; Mesodiniidae.